Molecule: unclassified non-coding RNA, 397 nt
Filed under: fungal sp.
Lineage: Eukaryota; Fungi
Description: partial internal transcribed spacer region
Rfam family: Eukaryotic small subunit ribosomal RNA (bases 1-46)
Source: RNAcentral
AAGUCGUAACAAGGUUUCCGUAGGUGAACCUGCGGAAGGAUCAUCAAUGAAAUUUUGAUCGUUUUACCAAAAACAACAACAAAAUUCCUGGCAAAAAGUCAACUUGCCAGGUCGAUUCUGAUUGUUUGCCCGGAGAUUUGGCCCAACCAAAUAAAAUAGUUUCUGGGUUUUGGCUGAACAUAUCAUUGUCGUGGGCCAAAAGCUUUUUUCGCGCGUGGGGGGGACUUUUUUGUCUCCUUUGCUGGAAAAAAAAAAAACAAGAGUUAAAAAUCCAGGCCAAAGAGAUUUUUACUCGAAAAACAACUCUGACCAAAGUGGGCGGCACUUUGGCUAGAAAAUAUACUCUCAACCGACCAACAACAAGAACAACUUUCGGCAACGGAUCUCUCGGCUCACC